AGUCGUAACAAGGUCUCCGUAGGUGAACCUGCGGAGGGAUCAUUACACAAAUAUGAAGGCGGGCUGGAACCUCUCGGGGUUACAGCCUUGCUGAAUUAUUCACCCUUGUCUUUUGCGUACUUCUUGUUACCUUGGUGGGUUCGCCCACCACUAGGACAAACAUAAACCUUUUGUAAUUGCAAUCAGCGUCAGUAACAAAUUAAUAAUUACAACUUUCAACAACGGAUCUCUUGGUUCUGGCAUCGAUGAAGAACGCAGCGAAAUGCGAUAAGUAGUGUGAAUUGCAGAAUUCAGUGAAUCAUCGAAUCUUUGAACGCACAUUGCGCCCUUUGGUAUUCCAAAGGGCAUGCCUGUUCGAGCGUCAUUUGUACCCUCAAGCUUUGCUUGGUGUUGGGCGUCUUGUCUCUAGCUUUGCUGGAGACUCGCCUUAAAGUAAUUGGCAGCCGGCCUACUGGUUUCGGAGCGCAGCACAAGUCGCACUCUCUAUCAGCAAAGGUCUAGCAUCCAUUAAGCCUUUUUUUUCAACUUUUGACCUCGGAUCAGGUAGGGAUACCCGCUGAACUUAAGCAUAUCAAUAGGAAGUAAAAGUCG
Molecule: ribosomal RNA, 591 nt
Filed under: uncultured fungus
Lineage: Eukaryota; Fungi
Description: eukaryotic LSU rRNA
Rfam family: 5.8S ribosomal RNA (bases 211-364)
Source: RNAcentral